RNAcentral lists this ribosomal RNA (450 nucleotides) under uncultured bacterium. RNAcentral describes it as "bacterial SSU rRNA". It matches the Rfam family "Bacterial small subunit ribosomal RNA", at positions 329 to 793 of the family's 1533-position model. The record is from RNAcentral.
UUCCAGACUCCUACGGGAGGCAGCAGUGGGGAAUAUUGGGCAAUGGGCGCAAGCCUGACCCAGCAACGCCGCGUGAAGGAAGAAGGCUUUCGGGUUGUAAACUUCUUUUAUUGAGGACGAAACAAAUGACGGUACUCAAUGAAUAAGCCACGGCUAACUACGUGCCAGCAGCCGCGGUAAUACGUAGGGGGCAAGCGUUAUCCGGAUUUACUGGGUGUAAAGGGAGCGUAGACGGAAUUGCAAGUCUGAUGUGAAAAUCCGGGGCCCAACCCCGGAACUGCAUUGGAAACUGUAUUUCUAGAGUGUCGGAGAGGCAAGUGGAAUUCCUGGUGUAGCGGUGAAAUGCGUAGAUAUCAGGAGGAACACCAGUGGCGAAGGCGGCUUGCUGGACGAUGACUGACGUUGAGGCUCGAAAGCGUGGGGAGCAAACAGGAUUAGAUACCCGAGUAC